GAUGAACGCUGGCGGCGUGCCUAAUACAUGCAAGUAGAACGCUGAAGGAGGAGCUUGCUCUUCUGGAUGAGUUGCGAACGGGUGAGUAACGCGUAGGUAACCUGCCUGGUAGCGGGGGAUAACUAUUGGAAACGAUAGCUAAUACCGCAUGACAACAGUUAUUGCAUGAUAACUGUUUAAAAGGGGCAACUGCUCCACUACCAGAUGGACCUGCGUUGUAUUAGCUAGUUGGUGAGGUAACGGCUCACCAAGGCGACGAUACAUAGCCGACCUGAGAGGGUGAUCGGCCACACUAGGACUGAGACACGGCCCAGACUCCUACGGGAGGCAGCAGUAGGGAAUCUUCGGCAAUGGACGGAAGUCUGACCGAGCAACGCCGCGUGAGUGAAGAAGGUUUUCGGAUCGUAAAGCUCUGUUGUAAGAGAAGAGCGAGUGUGAGAGUGGAAAGUUCACACUGUGACGGUAUCUUACCAGAAAGGGACGGCUAACUACGUG
Molecule: ribosomal RNA, 495 nt
Filed under: uncultured bacterium
Lineage: Bacteria
Description: partial 16S ribosomal RNA
Rfam family: Bacterial small subunit ribosomal RNA
Source: RNAcentral